UCCACCGGGAGCUCCUGGGGAGAAUUUUUUUUUUUUUUUUAAACUGGAGUUAGUUCUCUAAACCCUCUGUUCGCCGUGAGGCGUACCUCGUCACCGCUGUUCCCACCUUCAUAACACCCCCCUCUCCUGCUCUCUCACACUGUCCCUCAGUGUUAAGAGGGCAUGACGAGGACAGGUGCCCAAGAGAAGCUGCAGGACUGGGAGGGGAGGAGUUACUAACCGUGAGGUGCUGGCCAUCAUCCCCAAGUUCAGGGCUGACUGACUGUGGGCGGUUUGCACAGCAGGUGUUCACUCUCCAGGCCUCCUUGCUUGGGCGGUGAAUGCGGAGCCUCUCACUCUGUAGUUUGCAUAAAGCUGUCACCUCCUGGGCCGCCUGGGCUCAGAGGAACACCAUGGAGCUCUUAGCCCACCCCACCCCACCCGGCUCAGCUGCAGAGCUGGGCAGUUUUCCUACAAAAAAACUGACUCAGGCGGCGGUGACUCCUUAGUCCCGGAGAUACAGUUGGCCCUUUAACAUACGGUUUGAGCAGCAUUGGUCCACUUAUGCACAGACUUCUUUUCAAUAAAUACUACUGUAAAUGUAUUUCUGUUACGAGUUUCUCAAUAAUCUCUUCUCUAGAUUACUGAAAUAACACAGUGUGUAAUACAUAAAACAUACAAAUGUGCGUGUUCAUCAGUGUGUGUGGUUGGUAAGGCUUCUGAUCAAGAGGAGGCUGUAUGUAGCUACGUGUUGGGAGAGAAGUUACUUGUGGAUGUUCAGUGGCGUGGAGAUUGGCACCCUUCACCUCUGUGUUGUUCAAGGGUCAACUGUAUGAUAAAAUAAUUCCUCGCCAGAAGCGGUUCAGCUCAUGGGGACUCCGGGGAAAGCAAGGGAGUGAAGGCACCUGGGAUCUGACCGUGUAGGUUUGCCUGACUGCUUAGAACUGUGAAGAAUUCACUCACCUGACAGACAUGCCUAAGCAGGCACUUCUCUGAGGCAGGGUGCCUGGAGGCGAUCCAAAUCAUGAACAGGGGACUCCGGUGUGCUGCUUUCCCUCUGUCUAUAAGUCUGCAAGAGGGAGUGAGUGAG
This is a long non-coding RNA of Pipistrellus kuhlii (Kuhl's pipistrelle), 1069 nucleotides long. RefSeq lists it as uncharacterized. The transcript has 2 exons. The record is from RefSeq and is a predicted model, not a curated record. NCBI's taxonomy places the organism in Eukaryota, Metazoa, Chordata, Mammalia, Chiroptera, Vespertilionidae.